CAAAAUGUUGGUAUUGGUCCCCACCUCAUAAUGUAAGUUUGUGGCCCGAUGGAACGGGCCAUACGAAGUCCUUGAGAAGGUGGGUGAAGUUAACUAUAGGGUCAGACAGCCGGGACGUAGGCAUCUGACCCAGAUUUACCAUGUGAAUUUGUUAAAGAAAUGGAAUGCACGUGAUGUACUCUACUCUAUUUCCCCAAAGAAGGGAACCACAGAGACCAAGCCAGCGGAGGUGCCACUGGGGAACCAGGAUGUGUUCUCCAGUGAACCAGGACACCAAUCUGGUACAGCACAGUAUCAUCACCGAACCCGGGAAAAAGGUGUGGUUGAGACCAUACCGCAUACCGGAAGCAAGGAGGGAGGCCAUCAGGACCGAGGUGCCCUUAGCUCCCGAGGUGCGGGAGAAAACUGCUUUCGCCACCCCUGAUGGGCUGUUCCACUACAAGAAGCUGCCUUUUGGGUUGCACCAGGCCCCGGCCACCUUCCAGAGGUUGAUGGACCAGAUUCUCCAUCCCCAUCCCCCCUGAUAGAUCUGACCAGGAGCCGUCUGCUCACCCAGGUGACGUGGACCGAGAAGACGGAGAAAGCCUUCCAAGACCUAAAGAGGGCACUGUGUUCUGGACCCGUGCUGGUGACACCGGACUUCUCGAAACCACUGGUGGUACAGACCGAUGCGUCCAAAACAGGGGUAGGUGCCGUCCUAUCACAGCUACAAGAAGGUGAGGAACAACCAGUCGUGCACAUUAGCUGGAAGCUGUUGCCGCAGUAACAAAGAUAUUCCACCGUGGAGAAAGAAUAUCUAGCAAUUAAGUGGGCGCUGGAGACGCUGAAAUAUUACUUAUUGGGACGGCACUUCACCCUCGUAACGGACCAUGCACCACUGGUUUGGAUGUGACGGAAUAAGGACAGUAACGCCCGGGUCGGCAGGGAGAAGUGAGGGGAGUGGUGAUUGAAGGGAGAUAUCUUGCAGCCAGCUGGCUCCACCUCUGAGCCUUAUAUGGACUUCCUGUCCCAACGAGGCAAGCCUGUGGAUCAUUAAGCCAUGGAGUGCUUGGGGAUGAAAGAGGAAGCGGGCUGCACAAACAGGGAGAGGACUGAGAGGGAAACCUGUGUUAUGGAGAGUGUGAGAAGAGAGAGAAUUAGUUGUGUGAUUACCCAUUGUGACCUGGACUGUCUGAUUACCCCCACUGUGUACCGAACCAGUUUGGCUGAGGACCCGAGUUUUAGGAUUACUCCUGGAGAAUGGAACGGACAAUGAGAACGGAGUGUGGACUGUGAAGUGGUUGCAGAAUUCCCC
Molecule: long non-coding RNA, 1294 nt
Filed under: Salmo salar (Atlantic salmon)
Lineage: Eukaryota; Metazoa; Chordata; Actinopteri; Salmoniformes; Salmonidae
Description: lncRNA (ENSSSAG00000088586.1)
Source: RNAcentral